Molecule: long non-coding RNA, 558 nt
Organism: Homo sapiens (human)
Lineage: Eukaryota; Metazoa; Chordata; Mammalia; Primates; Hominidae
Product: long intergenic non-protein coding RNA 1501
Source: Ensembl
AAAGCUUAAAGCUGUUGGGAUGAGCAGCUGCCUGGGAAUCACGCUCCUUCCUGCUCUUUCCAAAAAGCCAGGUGCCGCCGGCCAGCAUCCCGCUCCCUUUGACCCGCAGUCUGUGCGGGAAGUAGGCCCGGAGUGGUGCCAGCAGGAGGUGGCCUUAGAAAGGCGGAGACCCAAGGAGCAGAGUGAGUCGGCGUCCAGCUCCACCUGAAAGCGCCAUCUUGUCGCCACUUCCCUCAGGAGCAGGAAGAAGAAGAGAUUUUGGAGUAGCAAUGGAAUAAUGACUGGAGACUGCAAGAGAUGACCCCACCUGGACCUACCAACCAGUCCUAUCAUCCCCACCCAGGAACUGACUCAGCACAAGAGGACAGCUUCAAUUCCCUAUAAUUUCAUCUCUGACCCAAAAAUUCAGCAUGCCUCCUACCUUAGCCCCCUGCCCUCCAAACUAUCUUUGAAAAACCCCUAACCUCCCAGCCUUCAGAAAGAUUGAUUUGAGUAAUAACUCUGUCUCCUGUGUGGCAUGGCUGGGCUCGCAUCAAUUAAACUCUUUCUUUACUGCAA